Transfer RNA from Camelus ferus (Wild Bactrian camel), 72 nucleotides. It matches the Rfam family "tRNA". Rfam says of the family: Transfer RNA (tRNA) molecules are approximately 80 nucleotides in length. Their secondary structure includes four short double-helical elements and three loops (D, anti-codon, and T loops). Further hydrogen bonds mediate the characteristic L-shaped molecular structure. tRNAs have two regions of fundamental functional importance: the anti-codon, which is responsible for specific mRNA codon recognition, and the 3' end, to which the tRNAs corresponding amino acid is attached (by aminoacyl-tRNA synthetases). tRNAs cope with the degeneracy of the genetic code in two manners: having more than one tRNA (with a specific anti-codon) for a particular amino acid; and 'wobble' base-pairing, i.e. permitting non-standard base-pairing at the 3rd anti-codon position. The record is from Rfam. Lineage: Eukaryota; Metazoa; Chordata; Mammalia; Artiodactyla; Camelidae.
GAGGGUAUAGCUCAGUGGUAGAGUGCAUGCUUAGCAUGCAUGAGGUCCCAGGUUUAAUCCCUAGUAUCUCCA